GCUUUCGUGGUGUAGUGGUGAGCACGCUGGGCUCGUAUUCCAGAGGUACGUGGUUCGAGUACCGGCGAAGGCG
This 73-nucleotide transfer RNA is filed under the name Stegodyphus mimosarum. It matches the Rfam family "tRNA". Rfam says of the family: Transfer RNA (tRNA) molecules are approximately 80 nucleotides in length. Their secondary structure includes four short double-helical elements and three loops (D, anti-codon, and T loops). The record is from Rfam by way of RNAcentral. Lineage: Eukaryota; Metazoa; Arthropoda; Arachnida; Araneae; Eresidae.